This 628-nucleotide long non-coding RNA is filed under the name Rosa chinensis. RNAcentral's name for it is "sRNA RchiOBHm_Chr6g0282251". Lineage: Eukaryota; Viridiplantae; Streptophyta; Magnoliopsida; Rosales; Rosaceae. The record is from RNAcentral.
UGACGCUCUAGAAGAGACUAGGUUUGGUUUGGAGAAUACUGUGGUACUCGAAUAGAAAGAAAUCCUUUUUUUUUUACGCCAUAGAAGGGACUAGAUUUGGUUUCUGGAAUAGAACAAAGCUAUACGAUCUUCGCAUUUGAUUGCUAAAGGAAUAGAACAGAUUGCGGUUCUAGAAAAGAAAGGACAAGAGGAGACGAAGAUUUGUUGGGGUCAACGGUUUGGUAUAUUAUUGCAGUGUUGGAAUAGAAAAAGAAGAGGAGUAAUUGAUCUGAGUUUGAUUUGGAGAGUAAAGAUUGGAGGAAGGAUGCCGUGUGCAUGUCAUCAAAGGAGACUUGGGUGAGCCAGACAGAAUUGUCAGGAAGCUGUUGCAGUCUGGGGUCUAUAUGAAAUUGAUUAAUUUGGGUCUUGAGGACUUACACUCCAGGAGUCCCAGCUGACAGUGAUAUUUAGUACUUUUGCAAGGAUUUUCUUUCUUGAAUUGUUCCCCACAAUGUCUUAACCUCCCCAUAAUGUUUUAACCACCAACCUAAGCGCUCACUUAUUUGCCAUAGUACUUAACUCAGUUCAGUACUAUGACCAAUUGUUGAGAUCCUAGAUUUUGAAAAACAAUACUGUUUGUAGAUAUAUA